CGCGUAGGCGGCGCGGGCAGUCAACGGUGAAAGCUUGGGGCUCAACCCCGAGUCGGCCGUCGAUACUCCCGUGCUUGAGCACUGUAGAGGCAGGUGGAAUUCCGGGUGUAGCGGUGGAAUGCGUAGAGAUCCGGAAGAACACCGGUGGCGAAGGCGGCCUGCUGGGCAGUAGCUGACGCUGAGGCGCGACAGCGUGGGGAGCAAACAGGAUUAGAUACCCUGGUAGUCCACGCCGUAAACGAUGGGCACUAGGUGCUUGGGGGAGCGACCCUCUGAGUGCCGGCGCUAACGCAUUAAGUGCCCCGCCUGGGGAGUACGGCCGCAAGGCUGAA
This 332-nucleotide ribosomal RNA is filed under the name uncultured Gemmatimonadota bacterium. RNAcentral describes it as "bacterial SSU rRNA". It matches the Rfam family "Bacterial small subunit ribosomal RNA", at positions 568 to 898 of the family's 1533-position model. Lineage: Bacteria; Pseudomonadati; Gemmatimonadota. The record is from RNAcentral.